UACGGAGGGGGCCAGCGUUGUUCGGAAUCAUUGGGCGUAAAGGGCGCGUAGGCGGCUUUGUAGGUCCGUUGUGAAAUCCCUCGGCUCAACCGAGGAACUGCGACGGAUACUGCUUGGCUUGAGUCCCGGAGAGGGUAGCGGAAUUCCCAGUGUAGCGGUGAAAUGCGUAGAUAUCGGGAGGAACGCCGGUGGCGAAAGCGACUGUCUGGGGUGCCUGUGACGCUGAGGCGCGAAAGCGUGGGGAGCGAACAGG
Molecule: ribosomal RNA, 253 nt
Filed under: uncultured bacterium
Lineage: Bacteria
Description: partial 16S ribosomal RNA
Rfam family: Bacterial small subunit ribosomal RNA
Source: RNAcentral